UACAAAGUAAUUAACUUUUAUAAGUAUACUUCGUAACUGCACAGAACCAAAUAAAUUAUUUAAAAUUUCAGCGUUUUCAAUUACAUUCGGUCAAACAAGAUGCAUACAACAAUACUAUAUUUAUAAUAAAUCCUAAACUUUUUUUCCUCAACCUUUCAUUCCCUUUUAUAUUUUUUUCAUAAUAAUAUUCGACACACUAUUGUUUCGAAUUAGAUAAUGAGAAUUGA
This 227-nucleotide long non-coding RNA is filed under the name Ananas comosus (pineapple). Its description in RNAcentral is "long non-coding RNA (ACOM_LNC017217)". Lineage: Eukaryota; Viridiplantae; Streptophyta; Magnoliopsida; Poales; Bromeliaceae. The record is from RNAcentral.